Poecile atricapillus (Black-capped chickadee) is the source of this 2574-nucleotide long non-coding RNA. RefSeq lists it as uncharacterized. NCBI's taxonomy places the organism in Eukaryota, Metazoa, Chordata, Aves, Passeriformes, Paridae. The transcript has 2 exons. The record is from RefSeq and is a predicted model, not a curated record.
ACCAGGAUUUUCAGAGCCCCAUCCAGCCUGGCCUUGGACACUUCCAGGGAUGAGGAUUGAACCUAGAUGUGAAGCUGGGGCAGCUGCUUACUCUGAGAUCUUCAAGGAACUUCACUGAUCUGUUCCUGUUUUCACAUGGCUGGAUUCUGGAUGCUGCAAGGUUGUCAUGUCAGGAUGCUGCAAAAGAGAUUGUUGCGUCUUCUUCCUGUAAAGUUGUGGAGUUUCUCUCUGUGCAGGGGGUACAGCCUUCAUGGUCAGGAAAUUGUUUUCCUUGCUCUGUGGUUUUCUUGUUGAUGUUGCUCUUAAAGGGGUCAACACUCUUAGUUCCAGGAAACUGAAACUAAAUAUGAACAGGGACUGGAGGAAGGAAGCAGGGAGAAUCCCCUAUAAGAUUCCAAUGCAUCUUAUUUCUGGGAAAACUAAAUAAAACAGGAUUCAACUGCUAGUGGCUAAAUAGCAGCAAUUUAUGAGCUGUUCCUCAAAAGCCCCAGACAAGCACCAAGUCCUGUGGGAAGCUGGAGAUUGACACAGGACACCUCCAGAAGAGUCUGCUGUUGAAACUUCCUUUAAGCAUUUUUCUCAAGUGGAGCAUGCAGACCUGGCAAAUGCAUAAGGUCAGCCCUUAAAAGAGCAAAGAGCUCUCUCUAAGAAAAUCAAAUGAGUGGCCGAAGUCUGUCUAUUUGUCUGCCUGUCUUUUUGGCCUUGGACUACUGUGCUUUUCAAAGCUGUGCUUUCAUAACUCAGAUAAAAAGGUAGAUGUUUCAUAUAGCUCUACAAAUAAUAAUCAUCCUGUUCAUGCAAAAUAUCUGCUACCUGAGGGAUGGGCCUAAACCAGAGGUGUUUCUCAAUUGCUUACAAAGUGUCUGGCUUUAGCAUCUAUACAGUCAGUUUUUGUGAACACGAGUCCAUUGCCUGCUCUAACGAAGUUAGUGACUUAUUUUCAGUGGUUGUAGAGAGUUUCACUGAAAUAGCACUGUUUGUAGUCUGCUGUGUGACUUAGGAGGCACAAUCGCCAGACAAUUCUGCAAUUGUAAUAUAACUGUACAUGGUGUUCCCAGAAAAUUCUCUAAAGUCUUAUCCCAUUGCACCGUUGUGAUAAAAACCUCUGCUGCUUUUCAAGCUCCACGAGUCCAUGCUGUGCCAUGCUGAAAGUGAGAGAAAACCCAAUUAGCUCUGGAAAGUGAAGGGCAGAGAGGGGUGCUCUGGCCUGGAAUUCCCUCCCUUUGGCAGCAACAAAGGUCAGCCGUGCAGCCAAAUUUCCAUGGAUCCAGCUUGUGUGUGUUGCCAGCUCUCUGCACAGGAGAGUGGGAGGAUGGGUAGGAAGAAUUGAUUCUGGGAGGGCAGAGCCUGAAAGGGAGAGUGGAGUUAAAUGUGAUAGCUGAAUAUUCAAGAGGUAGUUUGAUGGAUGCUGGGCAUACAACUUCCCUGGAACUCUUUAUAAGUAACACCCUCUAUAUAUUCCUGAGUGACUUUUAGCCAGUCUGGCAGUUUUCAGUAUCUGUGUGUGAGGGAAAAGAGGUAGGAGGCAGCUGAUCCCUAUGAUUUGGCAGCUCUGGGAGUGAAGUACCUCCUUGUGGCUGCUGGCUGAGGGUCUGGAUCUCUGAGGAGCUUCCUGACUACCUGUGGCUCCCACAGGCUUGUAGGACUGGGCUUAGAGAAACCCUGAGCUGCCAGAUGGAGGCUGCUUCUGGUGCAGCUCUUCUGAGUAGUCACAGCCAUGGAUGUGAGCCUGCAGUCCUUGGGAGGCAAAAUGCACUCCACAAUCCCAAGGGACCUGCUUUGUCCCUCAGUGCAGGCCAGCUGUGGGAAUCCUCCAAGUUCCUUUAUGCCGAUCUGUGUGUCAAGGCCAUGUGGCUGACCAUGAGUGACCAGAGCUGCUAUGGACCCUUCCUGCAAGGGCAGUUGUCUUCAGAGUCAGCGUAGGUGCAGGCUACCUUUGGAAAAGAGUGAUUAUCCUGGGGAAAUCCAUGGGGCAGAAACCUUGGGCCAUACUGUGUGCUCACACUAUCAAUAGGGAUGAUAUUGACAGGGGUCUUUUGUGGGAAAACUUGCUCUGAUGCAUCAUUCCAAGGAGAACAGCAGGAGUUUGCAGGUCAGGCCAUGUGGUGAGAUACGUAAUUCCAGCUCCCUUACUGGAUCUGAUUUAUACAGGUCAGGUCCAACGUUUCUGAGAAAUUGUUGAUGGUGGGGGCUUUUUUUGUUUGUUUGUUUGAUUGAAAACUUGAAGCCUUUCAAAUAAAGAACGUGAGGUAUAGGGAAUUUUUAGCUGGAGUAUGUGCUUCAGGAUGCUUCCUGCAUUCAGGCUUUGAGAACACAAAUUCUCUGCAGAGAAUCCCACACACAGUGGGAGACAAGGUUAUUGGGCUUGGAAGUGCACCAGGGAGAUGGGACUUGAGUGAGCUUGGAACAGCAAUCAUUAUCAUUAGUGGCAGUGCCAUAGUAUGUGCUUGACUCAAAUCCAGCACUGCACAGGUGAGAACCUGAUGAAACAUUGUAAUUUGAUUUUUUGUGGUUGUUCCUGCCAGUGUGAUCCACUGUUGAAUAGGCUAGACAUGAAUAAAAUCAGUAUUUUUU